UCUGAAUCUGCGAACGGCUCCGCAAACCAGUUGUAAACCAAAGCAAGCAUACUCGUGGUCUGCCCUUCACGGGGUGGGCUGCGGGUGAUACGGAUAACCCUGGUAAUUCUGAGGCUAAUACGAGACUGUACUCCCUGGCUAACCGGGCAACUGGUAGGCUGGGGGGCGUGUGAUCUAUUUGCAAGAUGAUUCCAGGAAGGGGUGCACGCUCUGACCGCGAUAAAGACAGUUCUGGUGGACCCUCACGGGCGAGCCAGUUCUGAGCGGCUCUUGCGAUGUGCUUCUGACCUAUCAACUAGAUGGCAGCGUAACGGACAUGCCAUGGU
RNAcentral lists this ribosomal RNA (326 nucleotides) under Diderma niveum. RNAcentral's name for it is "bacterial SSU rRNA". It matches the Rfam family "Eukaryotic small subunit ribosomal RNA", at positions 80 to 350 of the family's 1831-position model. RNAcentral also lists the same sequence under 1 other name. The record is from RNAcentral. Lineage: Eukaryota; Evosea; Eumycetozoa; Physariida; Didymiaceae.